AUUGAACGCUGGCGGCAUGCCUUACACAUGCAAGCCGAACGGCAGCACGGGAGCAAUCCUGGUGGCGAGUGGCGAACGGGUGAGUAAUGUAUCGGAACGUACCUUUCAGUGGGGGAUAACGUAGCGAAAGUUACGCUAAUACCGCAUAUUCUGUGAGCAGGAAAGCAGGGGAUCGCAAGACCUUGCGCUGAUUGAGCGGCCGAUAUCAGAUUAGCUAGUUGGUGAGGUAAAGGCUCACCAAGGCGACGAUCUGUAGCGGGUCUGAGAGGAUGAUCCGCCACACUGGGACUGAGACACGGCCCAGACUCCUACGGGAGGCAGCAGUGGGGAAUUUUGGACAAUGGGCGAAAGCCUGAUCCAGCAAUGCCGCGUGCAGGAUGAAGGCCUUCGGGUUGUAAACUAGCUUUUGUUACGGAACGAAAGACUCUGGGCUAAUACCCCGGAGUCAUGACGGUACCGUAAGAAUAAGACA
RNAcentral lists this ribosomal RNA (472 nucleotides) under uncultured bacterium. RNAcentral describes it as "bacterial SSU rRNA". It matches the Rfam family "Bacterial small subunit ribosomal RNA", at positions 30 to 493 of the family's 1533-position model. The record is from RNAcentral.